GCUUAAUCAUAGCUGAUGUGUAUGGGGAGGUCUCAGGUCCUUUAGGUUCUUUCUAAGCUAGAGAUUGUAUAAGUCAAUCAUGAUGGCCAGUUGGCCACUGUGCAAGGAGCUUCACGUUGUGUAAAGAAUAUUUAAAUUCUUCUUAAUACUAUGAUGAACAGAUCUCUUGUGUAUUUAGUGAAAAAAAUUUGGGUCAAGCAUCUACUGAUUGGCUGUCUUGUUCUCUCUCCUCAUCUCUUCUCUUUCCCCCUCUCAUUCUGCGUUCUUUCCCAUCAUGUCUGCUCUGGAUCAACGCCACAAUUGGUCUACAAAUCCGAAGGGAAGGGUGCCGUCGGCCUCUACAUCCAUGCUGCCAGCCUCCUUGGCCUUAUACACCCG
Molecule: long non-coding RNA, 378 nt
Filed under: Setaria viridis
Lineage: Eukaryota; Viridiplantae; Streptophyta; Magnoliopsida; Poales; Poaceae
Description: long non-coding RNA (SVIR_LNC003491)
Source: RNAcentral